Molecule: small RNA, 458 nt
Filed under: Pan troglodytes (chimpanzee)
Lineage: Eukaryota; Metazoa; Chordata; Mammalia; Primates; Hominidae
Description: processed transcript
Source: RNAcentral
CAGAGCCGCAGACCCACCCGGCCACCCCUCAGCGUCUACGCCCCCGAAGCGUCCGGGCCCUCACCUGGCCGGGGGCGUCGUCCCCUUCCAGGACUCCCUGGUUUAAGGCGCUUCCCCCCAUGUCCUUGCUGCCCUCCCUGUGGCGUGAGCCUUCGGCCUGGUGCGCCCCGCUGCCCUCCUUGGCUGUGACUCUGGUGGGGUUCCGAAGGCCCCUUUAUGCCCGGCAGACCCCUACCGACGGCGGCAUUCCAUUCUGGGGCCACGAGGAGGCACUCAUCGUUUCGUUCCAACCGCCGCCAACGGCCCUGGCCCUCGCGAGCUCUGGAACUACAGAGGUCGCACGCCCGGGCAGUGAGUGUGGAUGGCUUGGCAGGUGAGCCUGCCAGAGCUGGAGGACCGGCUUCAGUGUCCCAUCUGCCUGGAGGUCUUCAAGGAGCCCCUAAUGCUACAGUGCGGCC